Molecule: unclassified non-coding RNA, 369 nt
Filed under: Bursera odorata
Lineage: Eukaryota; Viridiplantae; Streptophyta; Magnoliopsida; Sapindales; Burseraceae
Description: partial external transcribed spacer
Source: RNAcentral
UUCGGUAUCCUGUGUUGCUUACCUAUCGAAAGGAAUCCGACGGUUUCGUUGGUCCCUUUCCGCCCCAUGCCCUCGCGGGUGGUGGGGUGGACGUCAGGCAAGCCUCGUGUUCCCGGCACGCCUCGCCCAGUUGCGCGGCUGCCCAGGCCCACGGGGCGCAUUGCCCGUGCUCUCGGAUGCGGAACGUUACGCGCGGGCGUGGGGUCUUUUGGCUCCGUCGGCCCGAGCAACGCAUUUGUCCCUCGACACGAACGACCGUCGAACCCGUCUUGAGCGCGCGGCCGUACGGCCAGUCGGGUCUCAUGCGGGCGUCGGCGUCGCGAAGGAAUGCUACCUGGUUGAUCCUGCCAGUAGUCAUAUGCUUGUCUC